RNAcentral lists this long non-coding RNA (376 nucleotides) under Panax ginseng (ginseng). Its description in RNAcentral is "long non-coding RNA (PGIN_LNC015845)". The record is from RNAcentral. Lineage: Eukaryota; Viridiplantae; Streptophyta; Magnoliopsida; Apiales; Araliaceae.
UACUUACUCUUGAAUUUAACCGAUGUGGGAUUCAUGUGAAAUCCCAACAAUCUCCACCUUUCACUUCAUUAAGCACAGCACACACCUUCUUUGAAUCCUUCAAGAGCUCUUUGCUCGACUCUAAUCCUACUCCCAGCAGUUUUUCCUAGAGCCAUCCCGAACCAUGCUCCACCCGAUUCAAAUACCCAUGCUCCACCCGAUUCAACUCUAUUUACUCCACCCACGAGGCCUACGAAUUGUACCUCUCGCGCACCCCCUCGCACCUUGAAGUUGAUACUUGGACUCCCACCGAACCAUCUAUUCAUUCCACAUCUAUUCAUCACCUUAGCAGCGCACACACCUGUGUAGACGAGCCCAAUAAGUAUGUUGGACCACC